CUCGAGUCUUAUUCUCCCCCCACACCUUCACUCUGUGUAAGGUUUGCUGAAUUGCUUCGUCCUCGUCAAACCACUCUGUGUUCUCACACACCUCUGGAUAUUCCAUCUUCCCCCGCUCCUCUCUCCUCCAGCGAGGGCUUUAAAGCCUGUGGACUCAGCUCAGCCAUAAGCUUCUCAGUGCAGCCUUUGCUUCAUCCCGGAUGGGGCAGGCGGCUCUUUGACAUGCUAAGCCCUCAGUUGGUUGUGACCUUUUGUUUCUCCCACUUGAUUAAAAGUGAGUCUCAACAGUUCAUUCACUGCCUAUCAUCUUCCUGGUUACUUGAUAAAUAAGCUUUUAUUAAAUGAAUCCAUUGGUGACAUUGUCAGGUAGGAAGCAGUUUAUCUAGACAACAGUUAAUGUCAUUUUAUCCU
RNAcentral lists this long non-coding RNA (411 nucleotides) under Rattus norvegicus (Norway rat). RNAcentral's name for it is "long non-coding RNA NONRATT012448". Lineage: Eukaryota; Metazoa; Chordata; Mammalia; Rodentia; Muridae. The record is from RNAcentral.